This 274-nucleotide long non-coding RNA is filed under the name Homo sapiens (human). Its description in RNAcentral is "non-protein coding lnc-DUSP2-2:1". The record is from RNAcentral. Lineage: Eukaryota; Metazoa; Chordata; Mammalia; Primates; Hominidae.
AGUUUUUGGAACCUACACAGAUGUGACACCUCGGCAGUUCUUCAAUGUUCAGCUGGACACAGAGUAUAGAAAAAAAUGGGAUGCCCUGGUAAUCAAGCUGGAGGUGAUUGAGAGGGAUGUGGUUAGUGGUUCCGAGGUUCUUCACUGGGUAACCCAUUUUCCUGUGAGUAUUUUUACUUCUGAUUUUAUUUCUGUCCAGGUUUGUGUGAUGCAGAACACUAAUCCUGCUCCUCCAUUUCUUUAGUAUCCAAUGUACUCACGGGAUUAUGUUUAU